GAAAAUGGUUUUGAUUUUAUGUGGAGCAAGAACAGCUGAAAUGAUUGUAUGGUCUCCUCCUUGGUGAUUGAAACCAUAUACAAAAGCACAUAUAAUGGAGAAAGCAAUGGAGGAAAUGUCUAAAUGGGAUUGGGUUGAGGUAGUAAGAGAAGAGUGUCAGUGAUUUUUGUUUUCUUUCUCGGCCUCUUCACAAGUUUCUGUUAGAUGGUUAUGGUGACAUCAGUAAUUGGCACACUAAUGGAUAAGUAUGCAUUUUGGGGGUCAAGUCAGUGUCUGCACACAGGUGACCCCUGGGUCUUUCUUUCAGGGUAGUCAGCAGAGCGCACACAGCAGCUGUCAUCCCUCCUUCGCUCCUGUCAUCACUGGCCUGCAAAACCUGGUUGGCACAAAAAGAGUUUCAGAUCCUUCCCAGAAAAAUUCAGGCACAGAUAUGGAACCAAGGACUGUUGAGAUAAACAGGGAGCUCAGUGAUGCCCUUGGAAUCAGUAUUGCUGGAGGAAGAGGAAGUCCCUUAGGAGAUAUCCCUAUAUUUAUUGCCAUGAUUCAGGCUAGCGGAGUGGCCGCACGGACACAGAAGCUUAAAGUAAACGAGAGAACUGGUUGAAGGACUAACAACAUGUGUUGGGGUGGGAGAGGAAGUUGCCCUGGGCACCUUGUUUAAAGUUGGAAUUCCAGUAGCCAUCAGAGACCCAGGCUGAGGGCAAGAUGCAUUAGAGAAGCUUUAUACCUUUAGAAAUUCAUUAGGUCCCCAGGCACAUAAAAAUAUUAUUAUUUGUAUCAAAGCUUCUCCAUAAAAGAAGAAAUUGCAGCCCCUUUGCAAACCCUCCUUUACCCUUUUAAGCACCUCAUUCCACCCAAAAUCAGCUCUCAACGGAGAGACAUUUGACCUUAGAGUCUUCCCUCAAUCAAAAGAAUCACUAUUUUUAUGAUUUCUCCCCCUUGU
RNAcentral lists this small RNA (943 nucleotides) under Pongo abelii (Sumatran orangutan). RNAcentral's name for it is "retained intron". Lineage: Eukaryota; Metazoa; Chordata; Mammalia; Primates; Hominidae. The record is from RNAcentral.